AACGAACGCUGGCGGCAUGCCUAACACAUGCAAGUCGAACGAGAUCUUCGGGUCUAGUGGCGCACGGGUGCGCAACGCGUGGGAAUCUGCCCUUUGGUUCGGAAUAACAGUUGGAAACGACUGCUAAUACCGGAUGAUGACGAAAGUCCAAAGAUUUAUCGCCAGAGGAUGAGCCCGCGUAGGAUUAGCUAGUUGGUGUGGUAAAGGCGCACCAAGGCGACGAUCCUUAGCUGGUCUGAGAGGAUGAUCAGCCACACUGGGACUGAGACACGGCCCAGACUCCUACGGGAGGCAGCAGUGGGGAAUAUUGGACAAUGGGCGAAAGCCUGAUCCAGCAAUGCCGCGUGAGUGAUGAAGGCCUUAGGGUUGUAAAGCUCUUUUACCCGGGAUGAUAAUGACAGUACCGGAAGAAUAAGCUCCGGCUAACUCCGUGCCAGCCGCCGCUGUAA
RNAcentral lists this ribosomal RNA (449 nucleotides) under uncultured bacterium. Its description in RNAcentral is "partial 16S ribosomal RNA". It matches the Rfam family "Bacterial small subunit ribosomal RNA", at positions 29 to 523 of the family's 1533-position model. The record is from RNAcentral.